GCCUAUAAUCUAGCCCCACCAAAUCCACAUGAAAUCACCCCCCACUAAUACUUAAACUAAAACAUUUUAACAAUUUAGUAAAGGAGAUCAAAAAAUUUUAACGGAGCUAUACAAAUAGUACCGCAAGGGAAAGAUGAAACAAAAAUGAAAUAUCUAAAGCACAAAAAAGUAAAGAUUCUCUCUUGUACCUUUUGCAUCAUGGUUUAACCAGUUAAAUCUAGCAAAAUGACCUUUAGUUUGACCCCCCGAAACUAAACGAGCUACUUCAGGGCAGCUUACUGAGCAAACCCAUCUCUGUUGCAAAAGAGUGGGAAGACCUUAAAGUAGAGGUGAUAGACCUAACGAGUUUAGUGAUAGCUGGUUACUCAAGAAAAGAAUUUUAGUUCAACCUAAAGUUAAAAAAUAUCACAAAAUAUUGAACUUAACUUUAAAGCAAUUCAAAUAAGGUACAGCCUAUUUGAAACAGGACACAACCUAAACUAACGGGUAAACAAUUUAAUUUAUAUAACCAAGUAGACCUAAGAGCAGCCACCUUUAAAAUGGCGUCAAAGCCUAAUUAUAAAAAUGCCUAAUACCCCAUCUAUUAUUUAUCCCUUUAACAGUACUGAGUAAUUCUAUAUUACUAUAGAACUUUUCAUGUUAAAACUAGUAACAAGAAGAAACCCCUUCUCUUUUAAUGUACAUGUAGGUCAGACAGGACACACCACUGACACUUAACACCUUUGAGCACAAAAUAGUAACUACUCCAAGCAAACUCUAUUUUAAUACUGUGUUAACCUAACACAAGAACAUUUCAAGAAAGAUUUAAAGAAAAAGAAGGAACUCGGCAAAUAUUAACCCCGCCUGUUUACCAAAAACAUCGCCUCUUGAGCCCAUAAGAGGUCUAGCCUGCCCAGUGACUCUGUUCAACGGCCGCGGUAUUCUAACCGUGCAAAGGUAGCGUAAUCACUUGUUCUUUAAAUAAGGACUAGUAUGAAAGGCACCACGAGGGUUACACUGUCUCCUCUUUCUAAUCAGUGAAACUAAUCUCCCCGUGAAGAAGCGGGGAUCUAUAUAUAAGACGAGAAGACCCUAUGGAGCUUUAAAUUAUGAUAACAAUUGCUACAUAUCUUUAAUUCCAGAAAAUUAACCCACUACCUUAGCACUAUGAUUAUUAAUUUUAGGUUGGGGUGACCGCGGAGCAUAAAAUAACCUCCACAUUGAAAUAGAACCUAAAUUCUAAGCAAGAAAUCACAACUUUAUGCAUCAAUAAAUUGACAUCAAUUGACCCAAUAUUUUGACCAACGAACCAAGUUACCCUAGGGAUAACAGCGCAAUCCACUUCAAGAGCUCAUAUCGACAAGUGGGUUUACGACCUCGAUGUUGGAUCAGGGUAUCCUAGUGGUGCAGCCGCUACUAAAGGUUCGUUUGUUCAACGAUUAAAACCCU
Molecule: ribosomal RNA, 1428 nt
Filed under: Cycloramphus acangatan
Lineage: Eukaryota; Metazoa; Chordata; Amphibia; Anura; Cycloramphidae
Description: partial 16S ribosomal RNA
Rfam family: Bacterial large subunit ribosomal RNA
Source: RNAcentral